Molecule: ribosomal RNA, 492 nt
Filed under: uncultured bacterium
Lineage: Bacteria
Description: partial 16S ribosomal RNA
Rfam family: Bacterial small subunit ribosomal RNA
Source: RNAcentral
AGUGAACGCUGGCGGUAGGCCUAACACAUGCAAGUCGAACGGCAGCACAGUAAGAGCUUGCUCUUACGGGUGGCGAGUGGCGGACGGGUGAGGAAUACAUCGGAAUCUACUUUUUCGUGGGGGAUAACGUAGGGAAACUUACUCUAAUACCGCAUACGACCUACUGGUGAAAGCAGGGGAUCUUCGGACCUUUCGCGAUUGAAUGAGCCGAUGUCGGAUUAGCUAGUUGGCGGGGUAAAGGCCCACCAAGGCGACGAUCCGUAGCUGGUCUGAGAGGAUGAUCAGCCACACUGGAACUGAGAAACGGUACAGACUCCUACGGGAGGCAGCAGUGGGGAAUAUUGGACAAUGGGCGCAAGCCUGAUACAGCCAUACCGCGUGGGUGAAGAAGGCCUUCGGGUUGUAAAGCCAUUUUGUUGGGAAAGAAAAGCAGCAGGUUAAUACCCCGCUGUUAUGACGGUACCCAAAGAAUAAGCACCGGCUAACUUCGUG